ACGCGUUCGCGUGACUGGCGAGGAAGGUGGAGCACCACCGUGGAGCGCGAAACGCAGCCGCCGCUCGCCUGGGCACCCUUU
RNAcentral lists this non-coding RNA (81 nucleotides) under Sphingobium quisquiliarum. RNAcentral's name for it is "ZTP sequence". It matches the Rfam family "ZMP/ZTP riboswitch aptamer (pfl RNA motif)". From Rfam's summary of the family: Previously known as pfl RNA. ZMP is also known as AICAR. Lineage: Bacteria; Pseudomonadati; Pseudomonadota; Alphaproteobacteria; Sphingomonadales; Sphingobiaceae. The record is from RNAcentral.